UUAACCAUUAGUUUACUAUUGGAGCGGUUAGUGGCGGACUGGUGAGUAACACGUAAGCAACCUGCCUAUUAGAGGGGAACAACAGUUAGAAAUGACUGCUAAUACCGCAUAUGCCUAAGUACCACAUGGUGCAAUAGGGAAAGGAGUAAUCCGCUGAUAGAUGGGCUUGCGUCUGAUUAGAUAGUUGGUGGGGUAACGGCCUACCAAGUCGACGAUCAGUAGCCGGACUGAGAGGUUGAACGGCCACAUUGGGACUGAGAUACGGCCCAGACUCC
RNAcentral lists this ribosomal RNA (275 nucleotides) under uncultured Oscillospiraceae bacterium. Its description in RNAcentral is "partial 16S ribosomal RNA". It matches the Rfam family "Bacterial small subunit ribosomal RNA", at positions 68 to 339 of the family's 1533-position model. Lineage: Bacteria; Bacillati; Bacillota; Clostridia; Eubacteriales; Oscillospiraceae. The record is from RNAcentral.